UACGUAGGGCGCAAGCGUUGUCCGGAAUUAUUGGGCGUAAAGAGCUCGUAGGCGGUUUGUCGCGUCUGCUGUGAAAACCCGGGGCUUAACCCCUGGCUUGCAGUGGAUACGGACAGACUAGAGGUAGGUAGGGGAGAAUGGAAUUCCCGGUGUAGCGGUGAAAUGCGCAGAUAUCGGGAGGAACACCGGUGGCGAAGGCGGUUCUCCGGGCCUUACCUGACGCUGAGGAGCGAAAGCGUGGGGAGCGAACAGG
RNAcentral lists this ribosomal RNA (253 nucleotides) under uncultured bacterium. Its description in RNAcentral is "partial 16S ribosomal RNA". It matches the Rfam family "Bacterial small subunit ribosomal RNA", at positions 524 to 776 of the family's 1533-position model. The record is from RNAcentral.